AUCCACAGCCAUAUCACACUGCAGCUCAAGACCGGUUACUCACUGAAGCUAAGCAGGCCUGAUCCUGGCCAGUACCUGGAUGGGAGACCAAAUGGGAAAACCUGGUUGCUCUUGGAA
This is a non-coding RNA of Danio rerio (zebrafish), 117 nucleotides long. NCBI's taxonomy places the organism in Eukaryota, Metazoa, Chordata, Actinopteri, Cypriniformes, Danionidae. The record is from Rfam.